Molecule: ribosomal RNA, 663 nt
Filed under: uncultured fungus
Lineage: Eukaryota; Fungi
Description: eukaryotic LSU rRNA
Rfam family: Eukaryotic large subunit ribosomal RNA
Source: RNAcentral
CCCGCUGAACUUAAGCAUAUCAAUAAGCGGAGGAAAGGAAACUAACAAGGAUUCCCCUAGUAACUGCGAGUGAAGCGGGAAAAGCUCAAAUUUAAAAUCUGUCAGUCUUUGGCUGUCCGAGUUGUAAUCUAGAGAAGUGUUAUCCGCGCUGGACCGUGUACAAGUCUCCUGGAAUGGAGCGUCAUAGAGGGUGAGAAUCCCGUCUUUGACACGGACUGCCAGGGCUUUUGUGAUGCGCUCCCAAAGAGUCGAGUUGUUUGGGAAUGCAGCUCAAAAUGGGUGGUAAAUUCCAUCUAAAGCUAAAUAUUGGCGAGAGACCGAUAGCGAACAAGUACCGUGAGGGAAAGAUGAAAAGAACUUUGGAAAGAGAGUUAAACAGUACGUGAAAUUGCUGAAAGGGAAACGCUUGAAGUCAGUCGCGUCAUCCAGGGAUCAACCUUGCUUUUGCUUGGUGUACUUUCUGGUUGACGGGUCAGCAUCAAUUUUGACCAUUGAAAAAAGAUUAAGGGAAUGUGGCAUACAUAGUGAUGUGUUAUAGCCCUUGGUUGCAUACAAUGGUUGGGAUUGAGGAACUCAGCACGCCGCAAGGCCGGGUUUUUAUUAAUCACGUACGUGCUUAGGAUGUUGGCAUAAUGGCUUUAAUCGACCCGUCUUGAAACACGG